CUGCCAGUGAAGAGGAUAUUGACCGUUCCCAUCGACUGACAAAUACUGACUGGUGCAAAUGUGGCAACUGUGUGAUUAUGCCCACAGUGGAUGAAUGCAAGUGCUGCACAGAAACGCACCUUGUUGAUCAGGAAGUCGAGUCAGCUGGGCUGCAAUGUAUAACCUUACAUGAAGGCUUUCAGGGAAACUGCCUCAACCAGUAUGUCCUCAAGGCAUCUUUUGUUGAAUUUUUGGAGGGACAUGGUCCUCUUGGAAAUGAUGAACCAGUAAACGAGAUUUACAGGUACAUUGCAUAUAGAAGAAUGAUCGGAUGGAUUUGGGGACGCAUUGGAAAAGGAAAUAGGAAAGUUCUUCCAUCCUGUGCAGUAAAUAAAAUAAGAGAGACCUGGGAGUCAGCAGACUACACUGGUUUUAAAUACCCAACUGUGUGAACCUCGACUUCCUAGUUGCCACAACUGUUGGAAAGUUCUCAAAUGGGUGUUCAUGGAUGUCUACAAUGUGGUUCAUCACCGACUUCCACUUGGCCACAACCAGCUCAGCAUUUACAUCA
Fundulus heteroclitus (mummichog) is the source of this 550-nucleotide long non-coding RNA. RefSeq lists it as uncharacterized. The record is from RefSeq and is a predicted model, not a curated record. Lineage: Eukaryota; Metazoa; Chordata; Actinopteri; Cyprinodontiformes; Fundulidae. The transcript is spliced from 4 exons.